Tyto alba (common barn owl) is the source of this 1563-nucleotide long non-coding RNA. RefSeq lists it as uncharacterized. The transcript is spliced from 3 exons. The record is from RefSeq and is a predicted model, not a curated record. NCBI's taxonomy places the organism in Eukaryota, Metazoa, Chordata, Aves, Strigiformes, Tytonidae.
GCGCGCCGCUCAGCCCGCCGCCGCCUCCCGCCUCAGGCCCCGGACCGCUCCGGAGCCAGCACUCACCACGGCCCGGCCCGGCCCGGCCCGCAGACUGCAGCGCUGUUGGAAGAUCCAGUUGGUGGAGAACACCUAACCCCUAACGCGGUGAAGCUGGAGACUAGUGUUAAACUGCAUGCUGCCUGUGGUUGCCAUUUGCCAGCUGAAACAUCAGGCCUUGAGUGUUUCAGGAUGCUUCUUCACAACCAUGUUCCUCGGGCAGACUACCAGGCCUGAUCUGCUCUUCUUUGGACCCCGUGCAAAAGAUGGAGAUGGAUACCGGCAGUCCAAGCCUGUCUCCUGGGCCCAUCAUUUCCAGCCAACUACAGGCAAACAGCUUGCUCCCUGAAAGCCAGCUUGCCUUUCCUACUUCUUAGAGAAAUCCUCACUGCCCAGGAGAAUGAACGUCAGUUCUUCACAGCUAUCGUCCCAGAAUAGCAGCCAGAGCUGCAGAAAGGAGACCAUGAAAACUCACCCAGCACCUCGCAGUGGAUGUUGUCCAGACUGUUUGGAGAGGUGGGCCAAGCAGUACAGCACCACAUGGAGGUUGUACACGGAGGAAAAUUAAGAUGGCUUCUGCAUGUAAAGCCUUACGCAGGUGAUAGUGAUUUGGGUACUGAUGUACUGCUGUCAACUGCAAGUGGUAGGACAGUGUAGGCUGCACUCAGUUGAAGUGAAGGUUCAGGUGGCAGCUUUGAACUAUAUGUUUCAGAAAGAUGUUUGGCCCUAACCUAAUGCAAAAUAGACUCCCCAAGUCAGAGGUGAGGAGCCUCAGCACUAGACAUUUCAGUCUGCUGGUCUGUUUCUGUUGCACCAAAUUAAUUACUAGUGUAGACGGUCCCACCACCUUGAGAAUUCUCAAACUUCCUGGACUGUAGCAUCUUCCUAGUAAGCAUGGACAUUGAAGACCUUACUACAAAUCCAUCUGGAAGCACAGCAAUGAGGGACAGUGCAAGUCUGAGGGAAAAAAAGAAAAAGCUCAUGUUCUUGCUAUAGGAAUCAUUCUGAGAGAGAGAAGAGACUACCUGCAGCUGCUAUUUUAUCACCUGGUAUUUGCUUGCUGUGACUUUAAAACAGUGGAGAAAAUUCAGGUAAACGGUGCAGCUGGGCAGUGCAGGAUGCAUUGCUGUGUGAAAAGGCAGCUGAAGAUCACCAAAAUAAUUUGGAGCAGCUUUGAUGACACAAACAUUACUGUGAGUACUGAUUCCAACAGGAGUGAAAACAUCAGAGGUGUUCAGCUGUGUUCAAGGAUUGUGUUGAUAUGGUCUGAUUUACAGCAGAGUAAACCAGCUGCAGAGAUAGGUCUUCAGAGGAAGAUUUCUUUGCGGUGGAAGAAUUAUACUUCCAGGUUCUGUUUUCUAUGCUUUGACUGCAUAAUAAAUAUUUUUUUCUUAGUUUGCUUAAUAUUCUUGAUAACUACCAGUUGCUGUGGAGCCACGAACCUUUUCUGCCUGUUAGCCAACUGCAAAUAAUUGUCCUUAAAAUCUCAUGCAAAAAGAGCAACCCAAAAGACCAACACGCAGA